ACGGUAUGUCAGAGUUUGAUCCUGGCUCAGGAUAAACGCUGACAGAAUGCUUAACACAUGCAAGUCAAUGAUGGGAAGCUAAGCCUAGCUUAGAAGAAGUCAUGGCGGACGGGUGAGUAACGUGUAAGAACUUGCCCUCUAGACUGGGAUAACAGAUAGAAAUGUCUGAUAAUACCGGAUAUUAUGGUUUUUUCGUCAUGGAGGAAUCAUGAAAGCUAGAUGCGCUAAGAGAGAGCUUUGCGUCCCAUUAGCUAGUUGGUGAGGUAACGGCCCACCAAGGCAAUGAUGGGUAGCCGGCCUGAGAGGGUGAACGGCCACAAGGGGACUGAGACACGGCCCUU
RNAcentral lists this ribosomal RNA (341 nucleotides) under uncultured bacterium. RNAcentral describes it as "bacterial SSU rRNA". It matches the Rfam family "Bacterial small subunit ribosomal RNA", at positions 1 to 334 of the family's 1533-position model. The record is from RNAcentral.